AUGGCUUGCUGGGCACCGCCAUUGACCGGUAGCACACCCUGGACCUUUCCCAGCUCAUUAAACCCGGCGACCUCGCAUGCCUUGACGCACCUUUCAGCCUGGAGGAGAUAUGGGAGGCGGUCAAACGCAUGCCGGCGCGCAAAGCGCCCGGACUGGAUGGCUUCACCACGGAGUUUUUGCGCGCUUGUUGGAGCAUCAUCCGGCAGGACAUCUAGGACAUUUUCAAGCUUCUCUACGCACUGCGAGGGCAUGGGUUCAGCAAGCUUAACCAAGCAUUGCUAA
This 282-nucleotide ribosomal RNA is filed under the name Triticum aestivum (bread wheat). RNAcentral describes it as "partial small subunit ribosomal RNA". Lineage: Eukaryota; Viridiplantae; Streptophyta; Magnoliopsida; Poales; Poaceae. The record is from RNAcentral.